UAAGUUAGGACCUACCAUUUUA
This 22-nucleotide non-coding RNA is filed under the name Arabidopsis thaliana (thale cress). The record is from RNAcentral. Lineage: Eukaryota; Viridiplantae; Streptophyta; Magnoliopsida; Brassicales; Brassicaceae.